This 232-nucleotide unclassified non-coding RNA is filed under the name Hevea brasiliensis (rubber tree). Lineage: Eukaryota; Viridiplantae; Streptophyta; Magnoliopsida; Malpighiales; Euphorbiaceae. The record is from RNAcentral.
AUUGACUUGUUUGGUUGAGAGUAAAUGUCCUCUUCCUAGGAAGUGAAAGGCCUUUUUUUCUCAAUUCCCAGGAAUUAAGUUACUUGCCCUAACCUAUGUAACUUACUUCUUGGGAAGUAGAGUUCCCGUGAAGUGGUUUAGAGUGGUGGACCACUAAUAGGAAGUACUGCAUUUUUAGGUGCAAAUUGCAGAAUUUACCUUAUCAUAACAUUGGAAUUCUCCAAUUCCAGGA